GCAGGGUUCCCGAGUGGCCAAAGGGAUCAGACUGUAAAUCUGACGCGCAAGCUUCGGUGGUUCGAAUCCACCCCCCUGCACCA
This 83-nucleotide transfer RNA is filed under the name Microbulbifer sp. YPW1. RNAcentral's name for it is "tRNA-Tyr". It matches the Rfam family "tRNA". Rfam says of the family: Transfer RNA (tRNA) molecules are approximately 80 nucleotides in length. Their secondary structure includes four short double-helical elements and three loops (D, anti-codon, and T loops). The record is from RNAcentral. Lineage: Bacteria; Pseudomonadati; Pseudomonadota; Gammaproteobacteria; Cellvibrionales; Microbulbiferaceae.